CCUACGGGAGGCAGCAGUGGGGAAUAUUGGACAAUGGGGGCAACCCUGAUCCAGCCAUGCCGCGUAUGUGAAGAAGGCCCUCGGGUUGUAAAGCACUUUCAGUGAGGAAGAACGCCUGGUGGUUAAUACCCAUCAGGAAAGACAUCACUCACAGAAGAAGCACCGGCUAACUCCGUGCCAGCAGCCGCGGUAAUACGGAGGGUGCGAGCGUUAAUCGGAAUUACUGGGCGUAAAGCGCGCGUAGGUGGCUUGAUAAGCCGGUUGUGAAAGCCCCGGGCUCAACCUGGGAACGGCAUCCGGAACUGUCAAGCUAGAGUGCAGGAGAGGAAGGUAGAAUUCCCGGUGUAGCGGUGAAAUGCGUAGAGAUCGGGAGGAAUACCAGUGGCGAAGGCGGCCUUCUGGACUGACACUGACACUGAGGUGCGAAAGCGUGGGUAGCAAACAGGAUUAGAUACCCCUGUAGUC
This 465-nucleotide ribosomal RNA is filed under the name Vreelandella stevensii. RNAcentral's name for it is "partial 16S ribosomal RNA". It matches the Rfam family "Bacterial small subunit ribosomal RNA", at positions 338 to 795 of the family's 1533-position model. Lineage: Bacteria; Pseudomonadati; Pseudomonadota; Gammaproteobacteria; Oceanospirillales; Halomonadaceae. The record is from RNAcentral.